RNAcentral lists this ribosomal RNA (427 nucleotides) under uncultured bacterium. Its description in RNAcentral is "partial 16S ribosomal RNA". It matches the Rfam family "Bacterial small subunit ribosomal RNA", at positions 355 to 774 of the family's 1533-position model. The record is from RNAcentral.
UGGGGAAUAUUGCACAAUGGGCGCAAGCCUGAUGCAGCCAUGCCGCGUGUAUGAAGAAGGCCUUCGGGUUGUAAAGUACUUUCAGCGGGGAGGAAGGUGUUGUGGUUAAUAACCGCAGCAAUUGACGUUACCCGCAGAAGAAGCACCGGCUAACUCCGUGCCAGCAGCCGCGGUAAUACGGAGGGUGCAAGCGUUAAUCGGAAUUACUGGGCGUAAAGCGCACGCAGGCGGUCUGUCAAGUCGGAUGUGAAAUCCCCGGGCUCAACCUGGGAACUGCAUUCGAGACUGGCAGGCUAGAGUCUUGUAGAGGGGGGUAGAAUUCCAGGUGUAGCGGUGAAAUGCGUAGAGAUCUGGAGGAAUACCGGUGGCGAAGGCGGCCCCCUGGACAAAGACUGACGCUCAGGUGCGAAAGCGUGGGGAGCAAACA